CGGUGGUGGUGGCGGAGGCGAAGGAGGAGGAGGCGAGGGCGGUGGUGGGGGAGGUGAAAAAACUGGUGGGGGAGGGGGAGGUGGAGAGAAAACGGGUGGUGGAGGUGAAGGAGGGGGAGGGGGAGGGAGAGGGGGAGAGGAUAUAGGGGGUGGAGGUGGUGGUAGUGAUGGUGGUGGCAAAGCAACAGGGGGAGAAGGCACCGGAAUUGGCGGAGACGGCGGAGGAGGGGAAGGUAAAGAAGGAACAAAAGGAGCACAUUUAAAUGAAUUGCAGUCCACUGGCCUAGACAAGAAAGACUUACAUUGCGCCGCGCUUCUUUGCAAAGGUCUCGCAGGCAAGCAAUUUCUUCUAUCAUCAAAUGCACGUAAGUUCAAGCAAACCG
This 383-nucleotide long non-coding RNA is filed under the name Gossypium raimondii (Peruvian cotton). RNAcentral's name for it is "long non-coding RNA (GRAI_LNC006854)". Lineage: Eukaryota; Viridiplantae; Streptophyta; Magnoliopsida; Malvales; Malvaceae. The record is from RNAcentral.